AGAUCAGAUGGACUCCUGAUUGAUUGCUCACACCGGUCACAGAGUGGAUCUCAGAUGGAAGGUAAAACUGAUGAAGGUGCUGGAUGAACAUCAUGCUGUGCAUGACUUCACACAGGUGGCCUAACCAUGGGAGGGAAGAGAGGCUGGUCAGGCUCCCUGAGGACGAUCAAGUGUCUGGAGCAUUGCGGAAGUUAAGGACCUUGCUUAAAGGCACAUCAUCCAGAGUGAAUGGAAACCAAGCACAUCCUUCCUUCGGGAAAUGAUGGAGUUUGAUCCAGCAACCCCAUGAUCUUAAGAGCAUUUCCCUAACCGUUUGGCCACAGCUGCCACAGUAUCUCAGUCUCAAGAGUGAGGAAGAGGGAGGAUGUGUUUGGUAAGA
This is a long non-coding RNA of Engraulis encrasicolus (European anchovy), 379 nucleotides long. RefSeq lists it as uncharacterized. The record is from RefSeq and is a predicted model, not a curated record. The transcript has 3 exons. NCBI's taxonomy places the organism in Eukaryota, Metazoa, Chordata, Actinopteri, Clupeiformes, Engraulidae.